ACGCUGGCGGCAGGCUUAACACAUGCAAGUCGAACGGUAGCAGGAGAAAGCUUGCUUUCUUGCUGACGAGUGGCGGACGGGUGAGUAAUGCUUGGGAAUCUGGCUUAUGGAGGGGGAUAACUACGGGAAACUGUAGCUAAUACCGCGUAGUGUCGAGAGACGAAAGUGCGGGACCGCAAGGCCGCAUGCCAUGAGAUGAGCCCAAGUGGGAUUAGGUAGUUGGUGGGGUAAAGGCCUACCAAGCCUGCGAUCUCUAGCUGGUCUGAGAGGAUGGCCAGCCACACUGGAACUGAGACACGGUCCAGACUCCUACGGGAGGCAGCAGUGGGGAAUAUUGCGCAAUGGGGGGAACCCUGACGCAGCCAUGCCGCGUGAAUGAAGAAGGCCUUCGGGUUGUAAAGUUCUUUCGGUAUUGAGGAAGGUUGAUGUGUUAAUAGUACAUCAAAUUGACGUUAAAUACAGAAGAAGCACCGGCUAACUCCGUGCCAGCAGCCGCGGUAAUACGGAGGGUGCGAGCGUUAAUCGGAAUAACUGGGCGUAAAGGGCACGCAGGCGGUUAUUUAAGUGAGGUGUGAAAGCCCCGGGCUUAACCUGGGAAUUGCAUUUCAGACUGGGUAACUAGAGUACUUUAGGGAGGGGUAGAAUUCCACGUGUAGCGGUGAAAUGCGUAGAGAUGUGGAGGAAUACCGAAGGCGAAGGCAGCCCCUUGGGAAUGUACUGACGCUCAUGUGCGAAAGCGUGGGGAGCAAACAGGAUUAGAUACCCUGGUAGUCCACGCUGUAAACGCUGUCGAUUUGGGGAUUGGGCUUAGAGCUUGGCGCCCGUAGCUAACGUGAUAAAUCGACCGCCUGGGGAGUACGGCCGCAAGGUUAAAACUCAAAUGAAUUGACGGGGGCCCGCACAAGCGGUGGAGCAUGUGGUUUAAUUCGAUGCAACGCG
This 939-nucleotide ribosomal RNA is filed under the name uncultured bacterium. RNAcentral's name for it is "bacterial SSU rRNA". It matches the Rfam family "Bacterial small subunit ribosomal RNA", at positions 33 to 963 of the family's 1533-position model. The record is from RNAcentral.